This 395-nucleotide ribosomal RNA is filed under the name uncultured bacterium. RNAcentral's name for it is "partial 16S ribosomal RNA". It matches the Rfam family "Bacterial small subunit ribosomal RNA", at positions 338 to 731 of the family's 1533-position model. The record is from RNAcentral.
CCUACGGGUGGCAGCAGUGAGGAAUAUUGGUCAAUGGGCGCGAGCCUGAACCAGCCAAGUCGCGUGAGGGAAGACGGCCCUAUGGUUUGUAAACAUCUUUUGUCGGGAGGCAAAAGCCGCCACGCGUGGCUUUCCGAGAGUACCUGAAGAGAAAGAAUCGGCUAACUCCGCGCCAGCAGCCGCGGUACUACGGAGGAUGCGAGCGUUAUCCGGAUGUAUGGGGUUAAAGGGAUGCGCAGGCGGAAGAUAAAGUCAGUGGGAAAAUUGAGAGGCCAACCCUCGUCGUGCCGUUGAAUCUGGCAGUCUUGAGUGAGGUAGAAGUAGGCGGAAUGCGUGGUGUAGCGGUGAAAUGCAUAGAUAUCACGCAGAACUCCGAUUGCGAAGGCAGCAUACCG